CCCUUAGAUGUUCUGGGCUGCACGCGCGCUACACUGAUGCGCUCAACGAGUUUUAACCUUGCCUGGAAAGGUUGGGUAAUCUUUUUAAAACGCAUCGUGAUGGGGAUAGAUUAUUGCAAUUAUUAAUCUUGAACGAGGAAUUCCUAGUAAACGCGAGUCAUCAGCUCGCAUUGAUUACGUCCCUGCCCUUUGUACACACCGCCCGUCGCACCUACCGAUUGAAUGGUUCGGUGAAGAUCUCGGACUUCGAUAUUUGUUCUUCAUUGAACUUAUAUAGUGGGAAGUUAUCUGAACCUCAUCAUUUAGAGGAAGGUGAAGUCGUAACA
Molecule: ribosomal RNA, 326 nt
Filed under: uncultured eukaryote
Lineage: Eukaryota
Description: partial 18S ribosomal RNA
Rfam family: Eukaryotic small subunit ribosomal RNA
Source: RNAcentral